Molecule: non-coding RNA, 70 nt
Organism: Ictidomys tridecemlineatus (thirteen-lined ground squirrel)
Lineage: Eukaryota; Metazoa; Chordata; Mammalia; Rodentia; Sciuridae
Source: Rfam
UGGGAUGUAGCUUAGUGGUAAAGCACUUGCCUAUCAGCUAAGGCCCUGGGUUUAAUCCCCAGUACCUCAA